CCAAGAUGUAGCCUCUCUAGUUAAGAUGGAACUAUAGGCGUUUUCUAAUCAUGAGAAGGAAAAUUUCUGGACAACGAGUAAAAGUGGGUAAAUGAGUGGGGAAACAGGAGCUGCAAGGCAAGCUAUAUAUGGAAUGAGCAUUGCACCCAGAAUGAAUACAAAACGCCGUAGUGGUUGGAACCUCAGGCAUUUGGCCCACCUCACUUUCUCAGAAGGAGAGGCUCUAGUGCUGGCUACGAUAUACGCAAUGCCUGCAUAGGUGGGAGCAAGAUAGUUCAAGAAUGGUCAGUCAUCUCACCCUCACUCUUCUUAUGAACGUUUACAUAUUUGGCAUGUUGGUGCGAGUAUUGUAUAAAAUUUAUACGAUAACUGUUCAGACGCGGUCUUGAAAUGAAUAUGAAACUGUGGUUUUCUAACA
This is a long non-coding RNA of Ipomoea nil (Japanese morning glory), 418 nucleotides long. RefSeq lists it as uncharacterized. The record is from RefSeq and is a predicted model, not a curated record. The transcript has 3 exons. NCBI's taxonomy places the organism in Eukaryota, Viridiplantae, Streptophyta, Magnoliopsida, Solanales, Convolvulaceae.